UGGGGAAUAUUGGACAAUGGGCGCAAGCCUGAUCCAGCAAUGCCGCGUGUGUGAAGAAGGCCUUCGGGUUGUAAAGCACUUUUAUCAGGAGCGAAACUACUGUCGGCUAAUACCCGGCGGAACUGGCGGUACCUGAGGAAUAAGCACCGGCUAACUUCGUGCCAGCAGCCGCGGUAAUACGAAGGGUGCAAGCGUUACUCGGAAUUACUGGGCGUAAAGCGUGCGUAGGUGGUUCGUUAAGUCCGAUGUGAAAGCCCUGGGCUCAACCUGGGAAUGGCAUUGGAUACUGGCGGGCUAGAGUGCGGUAGAGGAUGGCGGAAUUCCCGGUGUAGCAGUGAAAUGCGUAGAGAUCGGGAGGAACAUCUGUGGCGAAGGCGGCCAUCUGGACCAGCACUGACACUGAGGCACGAAAGCGUGGGGAGCAAAC
RNAcentral lists this ribosomal RNA (427 nucleotides) under uncultured bacterium. Its description in RNAcentral is "bacterial SSU rRNA". It matches the Rfam family "Bacterial small subunit ribosomal RNA", at positions 355 to 773 of the family's 1533-position model. The record is from RNAcentral.